Non-coding RNA from Ictidomys tridecemlineatus (thirteen-lined ground squirrel), 1432 nucleotides. The record is from RefSeq and is a predicted model, not a curated record. NCBI's taxonomy places the organism in Eukaryota, Metazoa, Chordata, Mammalia, Rodentia, Sciuridae.
GGAGGGCGUAGGAGAAAGUAGCCAAUGAGCAUCGAGAACCGUGCUCCCCUGGGGCUGGGAGGAGGUGUGCAGCGCGGGGCCGGGCCGGGAUCGGGGAGCGGCCAGGGCCCCCUGCCGACUCCCCAGAACUCCAGGCUGCAUUAUUGAUGGAGUCCAGCCGGGAGGAUGAAGGAGGGGGGGAGAGGGGAGAGGGACAGCGGGAAGUCAGGGACUCGGGCUUUAACCACUCAGUGGCCCUGGUACUUGGAGUUUCAUGGAAGGUCUGUGAGGGUGAGGAGAAGAGUACCAGCGUGUCACGCUGUGAAUGGGGGUGUCCUAGAAAGCGAGUGCGUGUGAACGAGGUGUGCGUGGGAGGACACGUGUCAGUCACAUCGUGGCAGGGAGUAUGUGCAAGUGAGUUCCAGGGGCCUGUGGUGCUAUAGCUCGGGAAUGGGGGGAGCAGUGUGGUGUGAGUGUGUGUGUGUGUGUGUGUGAGUCUACAUGAGUAAGUGUGUCAGAGUGUUAAAGAUUAGGGUGUGAGUGGCAGGGCGUGGGAGGGCUGCGUGUGUGCGGGGGAGGGUGUGGGUGUGGGGGAGGACGUCAGAGGCUGUCAAGGUGAUGGGCAGGCGGGUGCCAGCUUGAGGGGUGGGAGCAGUGUAUCCACAGGGCCUAUGCAGUAGAGGGGCUCCUGGCUGUGAAUGUGAGCAUAUUCCCUGGGGGAGAGGGGGAUGUGUCCUUACCAUGAUGUACCCUGCAUUCACGUGUCUUCUGCCUUUUCUCCCCAGAUCUAAUGGGGGAGGGGGCAGAGCCAGCCCAGGGGGCAGGUGGGGGGCUGCCUUACCAGUACACGUGCCAUCACAUGUGUGAGCUGGGUGCAUUGAGCAACAGAACUUGGGAGAAAGGAGCUGGCAUUUCCCUCUUCAGGGCUGUUCACCAGGGUGGGACUCUCUGUAGCGACCAAAAGGGUCUUGCUAAGUUGCCCAGGCUGGCCUCAAACUUGUCCUCCUGCAUUCAGACUCUACAGUAGCUGGAAUUACAGCCCAGUUUGGACCCAUAGUUGGAGAAGCCGAAAUCGAUGUGCCGAGGCUGCCCUCUGGUGAUAGAAAAGAGAACAGUACUAUUUGUGCCCUCUGGCGCCCCCAGGUGGGAGCUGGGAUGUUGCGAAGACAGCGAGCUGCAGCCCACAGCGGAGGCAGCCUCAGCCCCGGGCACCUGGAGACCCCCUGCUCUGGCCACUGCCUGGUGCCCCCCGAGGUGCCAGCUGAGGCUGCCCCCGAAGAAUGCCAGCUGCCUGAUCUCUCCGCCUCCCACUCCCUCCACCAGCUUCACACACACUCCAAUCCCGGUCCAGUCGGCUGCUUCCAUUCCCUGAAGAAGAGGCCCUAAAGUUAAAACAGCUGUUAAUUUAUAAACCAAUUUUUCCGUGACUGCUUAAUAAAUCGCCAGCAGCUGC